GAUGAACGCUGGCGGUAUGCUUAACACAUGCAAGUCGUACGAGAGUUUUUAACUCUAGUGGCGGACGGGUGAGUAACACGUGAGAAUCUACCCUAAGGAGGGGAAUAACAGCUGGAAACGGUUGCUAAUACCCCAUACGCCGAAAGGUAAAAGGAUUUAUCCACCUUAGGAAGAGCUCGCGUCUGAUUAGCUAGUUGGUGAGGUAAAGGCUCACCAAGGCCAUGAUCAGUAGCUGGUUUGAGAGGACGAUCAGCCACACUGGGACUGAGACACGGCCCAGACUCCUACGGGAGGCAGCAGUGGGGAAUUUUCCGCAAUGGGCGAAAGCCUGACGGAGCAAUACCGCGUGAGGGAUGAAAGCCUGUGGGUUGUAAACCUCUUUUCUCAAGGAAGAAGUUCUGACGGUACUUGAGGAAUAAGCAUCGGCUAACUCUGUGCCAGCAGCCGCGGUAAUACAGAGGAUGCAAGCGUUAUCCGGAAUCACUGGGCAUAAAGCGUCUGUAGGUGGUUUGAUAAGUCUGCUGUUAAAGACUAGGGCUUAACCCUAGGAAAGCAGUGGAAACUGUCAGACUUGAGUAUGGUAGAGGUACAGGGAAUUCCUAGUGUAGCGGUGAAAUGCGUAGAUAUUAGGAAGAACACCAAUGGCGAAAGCACUGUACUGGGCCACAACUGACACUGAGAGACGACAGCUAGGGGAGCAAAUGGGAUUAGAUACCCCAGUAGUCCUAGCCGUAAACGAUGGAUACUAGGUGUUGCACGUAUUAACCCGUGCAGUAUCGUAGCUAAGGCGUUAAGUAUCCCGCCUGGGAAGUACGCUCGCAAGAGUG
Molecule: ribosomal RNA, 827 nt
Filed under: uncultured phototrophic eukaryote
Lineage: Eukaryota
Description: bacterial SSU rRNA
Rfam family: Bacterial small subunit ribosomal RNA
Source: RNAcentral